Molecule: ribosomal RNA, 333 nt
Filed under: uncultured bacterium
Lineage: Bacteria
Description: bacterial SSU rRNA
Rfam family: Bacterial small subunit ribosomal RNA
Source: RNAcentral
GACGAACGCUGGCGGCGUGCUUAACACAUGCAAGUCGAACGGUAAGGCCCUUCGGGGUACACGAGUGGCGAACGGGUGAGUAACACGUGGGUGAUCUGCCCUGCACUUUGGGAUAAGCCUGGGAAACUGGGUCUAAUACCGAAUAUGACCAUGGACUUCACGGUUUGUGGUGGAAAGCUUUUGCGGUGUGGGAUGGGCCCACGGCCUAUCAGCUUGUUGGUGGGGUAAUGGCCUACCAAGGCGACGACGGGUAGCCGGCCUGAGAGGGUGACCGGCCACACUGGGACUGAGAUACGGCCCAGACUCCUACGGGAGGCAGCAGUGGGGAAGUAA